Molecule: RNase P RNA, 374 nt
Filed under: Oceanidesulfovibrio marinus
Lineage: Bacteria; Pseudomonadati; Thermodesulfobacteriota; Desulfovibrionia; Desulfovibrionales; Desulfovibrionaceae
Description: Desulfovibrio marinus RNase P RNA component class A
Rfam family: Bacterial RNase P class A
About the family: Ribonuclease P (RNase P) is a ubiquitous endoribonuclease, found in archaea, bacteria and eukarya as well as chloroplasts and mitochondria. Its best characterised activity is the generation of mature 5'-ends of tRNAs by cleaving the 5'-leader elements of precursor-tRNAs. Cellular RNase Ps are ribonucleoproteins.
Source: RNAcentral
GGAGUCGGACGGGUCGUCGCUUUGGGCGCUUGCGCCCCGAGAGGAAAGUCCGGGCUCCGCAGGGCAGGACGCUGGGUAACGCCCAGGGGGAGUGAUCCCCGGACAGUGCCACAGAAAACAGACCGCCUGGGCGGCACACUGCCGCGCAGGUAAGGGUGAAACGGUGGGGUAAGAGCCCACCAGUUGUCGUGGCGACACGGCAAGCUUGGUAAACCCCGUCCGGAGCAAGACCAAAUAGGGGGGCGUUCGAGGUCGGCCCGGCCGAAGCCCCCGGGUAGGUUGCUAGAGACCCGGAGUAAUCCGGGCCCCAGAGGAAUGGCGGCCACCCGCCCUUGCGGCGGGUACAGAACCCGGCUUACAGUCCGGCUCCCAUC